Molecule: ribosomal RNA, 639 nt
Filed under: uncultured Actinomycetes bacterium
Lineage: Bacteria; Bacillati; Actinomycetota; Actinomycetes
Description: bacterial SSU rRNA
Rfam family: Bacterial small subunit ribosomal RNA
Source: RNAcentral
CGCGGCCUAUCAGCUUGUUGGUGAGGUAACGGCUUACCAAGGCUUGGACGGGUAGCUGGUCUGAGAGGACGAUCAGCCACACUGGGACUGAGACACGGCCCAGACUCCUACGGGAGGCAGCAGUAAGGAAUAUUGCGCAAUGGGCGAAAGCCUGACGCAGCAACGCCGCGUGCGGGAUGAAGGCCCUCGGGUUGUAAACCGCUUUCAGUAGGGAAGAAAAUGACGGUACCUACAGAAGAAGCCCCGGCCAACUACGUGCCAGCAGCCGCGGUAACACGUAGGGGGCAAGCGUUGUCCGGAUUUAUUGGGCGUAAAGAGCUCGUAGGCGGUUUCGUAAGUCGGAUGUGAAAACUCCAGGCUCAACUUGGAGACGCCAUUCGAUACUGCGAUGACUUGAGUCCGGUAGGGGAGUGUGGAAUUCCUGGUGUAGCGGUGAAAUGCGCAGAUAUCAGGAGGAACACCGGCGGCGAAGGCGGCACUCUGGGCCGGUACUGACGCUGAGGAGCGAAAGCGUGGGUAGCAAACAGGAUUAGAUACCCUGGUAGUCCAUGCCGUAAACGUUGGGCACUAGGUGUGGGGGACAUUCCACGUUUUCCGCGCCGUAGCUAACGCAUUAAGUGCCCCGCCUGGGGAGUACGG